This 884-nucleotide ribosomal RNA is filed under the name Enterococcus sp. ALS12. Its description in RNAcentral is "bacterial SSU rRNA". It matches the Rfam family "Bacterial small subunit ribosomal RNA", at positions 22 to 877 of the family's 1533-position model. Lineage: Bacteria; Bacillati; Bacillota; Bacilli; Lactobacillales; Enterococcaceae. The record is from RNAcentral.
GCUCAGGACGAACGCUGGCGGCGUGCCUAAUACAUGCAAGUCGAACGCUUUUUCUUUCACCGGAGCUUGCUCCACCGAAAGAAAAAGAGUGGCGAACGGGUGAGUAACACGUGGGUAACCUGCCCAUCAGAAGGGGAUAACACUUGGAAACAGGUGCUAAUACCGUAUAACACUAUUUUCCGCAUGGAAGAAAGUUGAAAGGCGCUUUUGCGUCACUGAUGGAUGGACCCGCGGUGCAUUAGCUAGUUGGUGAGGUAACGGCUCACCAAGGCAACGAUGCAUAGCCGACCUGAGAGGGUGAUCGGCCACACUGGGACUGAGACACGGCCCAGACUCCUACGGGAGGCAGCAGUAGGGAAUCUUCGGCAAUGGACGAAAGUCUGACCGAGCAACGCCGCGUGAGUGAAGAAGGUUUUCGGAUCGUAAAACUCUGUUGUUAGAGAAGAACAAGGAUGAGAGUAAAACGUUCAUCCCUUGACGGUAUCUAACCAGAAAGCCACGGCUAACUACGUGCCAGCAGCCGCGGUAAUACGUAGGUGGCAAGCGUUGUCCGGAUUUAUUGGGCGUAAAGCGAGCGCAGGCGGUUUCUUAAGUCUGAUGUGAAAGCCCCCGGCUCAACCGGGGAGGGUCAUUGGAAACUGGGAGACUUGAGUGCAGAAGAGGAGAGUGGAAUUCCAUGUGUAGCGGUGAAAUGCGUAGAUAUAUGGAGGAACACCAGUGGCGAAGGCGGCUCUCUGGUCUGUAACUGACGCUGAGGCUCGAAAGCGUGGGGAGCGAACAGGAUUAGAUACCCUGGUAGUCCACGCCGUAAACGAUGAGUGCUAAGUGUUGGAGGGUUUCCGCCCUUCAGUGCUGCAGCAAACGCAUUAAGCACUCCGCCUGGG